Molecule: long non-coding RNA, 3507 nt
Organism: Gadus macrocephalus (Pacific cod)
Lineage: Eukaryota; Metazoa; Chordata; Actinopteri; Gadiformes; Gadidae
Exons: 3
Source: RefSeq, a predicted model, not a curated record
CACACGCACACACACGCACGCCCACGCAUGUGCGUACGUACACACACGGGUAUUCACACAUGCACACGUGCGCGCAUACAACUACACGCGCGCACACACGUACACACACACACCCACCUACACACUCACCAAACACACACACACACCAAACGCACACACACACACACACACACACACACACACACACACACACACACACACACACACACACACACACACACACACACAAAGAGACUGUACCCAAGCACAUACAAAUCCGUUCUCACGCUGUGUACGAGCCAGAAGGAUCCACACGCAUCUGAAUACACAUUUCCCCUUUUUCUGUUUAUACCUCAAUCAAGAAUCAUGCAAUCCGACUCCACACAUGGCUGCAACGCACUGGAUAGGACUAGUGGGUUAGAAUGAGACCAGGACUAGUGGGUUAGAGUGAGACCAGGACUAGUGGGUUAGAGUGAGACCAGGACUAGUGGGUUAGAGUGAGACCAGGACUAGUGGGUUAGAGUGAGACCAGGACUAGUGGGUUAGAGUGAGACCAGGACUAGUGGGUUAGAGUGAGACCAGGACUAGUGGGUUAGAGUGAGACCAGGACUAGUGGGUUAGAGUGAGACCAGGACUAGUGGGUUAGAAUGAGACCAGGACUAGUGGGUUAGAGUGAGACCAGGACUAGUGGGUUAGAGUGAGACCAGGACUAGUGGGUUAGGAUGAGACCAGGACUAGGGGGUUAGAGUGAGACCAGGACUAGUGGGUUAGAGUGAGACCAGGACUAGUGGGUUAGGAUGAGACCAGGACUAGUGGGUUAGAGUGAGACCAGGACUAGUGGGUUAGGAUGAGACCAGGACUAGUGGGUUAGGAUGAGACCAGGACUCGUGGGUUAGAGUGAGACCAGGACUAGUGGGUUAGGAUGAGACCAGGACUAGUGGGUUAGAGUGAGACCAGGACUAGUGGGUUAGAGUGAGACCAGGACUAGUGGGUUAGAAUGAGACCAGGACUAGUGGGUUAGAGUGAGACCAGGACUAGUGGGUUAGAGUGAGACCAGGACUAGUGGGUUAGAGUGAGACCAGGGGUUUAGAGUGAGACCAGGUGGGCCGGUCCCAUGCAGCUCUCAUUAUCAGAGUCUAGGCGGUAUAUCUCAGAUGAAACACCAAUCAGAGGGGAAAUCUACACGGGAUGAAUAGUAAGGGGUCAUCCACACAGGUUAGUGUGUGUGUGUGUGUGUGUGUGUGUGUGCGUGUGUGUGUGUGUGUUAGGCAUGUGUGUGCUUGCGUGUGUGUUAGACAUACAUGUGUGUGUGUGUGUGUGAGCAGACAGGCGGACCAGACAGCAGGCCUUCACACCCGCCACAUGAGCCUGGGCCGGUUGCUAUGACACCGUUGCCCCCUCAGUCCGAUGACUCCCUGGUGGCCAAUCUGCAUACCAGCUGGAAUCCAGCUGGAACACACACAUAAGCACAUAAACACACGCAUAAGCAGCACACAAACACGAGUAUAGGCACACAAACAACCACAUAAGCACCCACCCACAUACACUAACCCCUUUUUAUAUACAGUCAGUGUCGACGGAUAGACGGUCGUGUGCGUUUGAACCUGUCACAUCAUUUAGGAGUGUGCCCGAUGUUGCGACACACAACGUCGCCACAUGAUGCAAGAAUACAAACCAUUUCACAUGAAUGCCGUGUGAUUCACAUGUGACAACCCGGGGGCAUUCACAGAUUGAGAAUUGAAAGACUCGGCGUGCUCCUACAUUUACAUUCAAUGCAUUUAGCGGACGCUUUAUCCUAAGCGACUUACCAUAAUUACAUUUGUCAGAAGAAAGAGAAACAACCAUAUAUCACUGUCGGAACAGUAAGGCUGUCCAAUAGAACGUGCCAUUUACAAUUGCAAUGGUCAACCCAUUCCACGUAUACAACAAGGAUAGCUAGGAGGAUAAGAUGCUGCUGCACGACGCUAAGUACUGUUUUUAAGUGCCAGGGCAUACAACACACACAGACGCAUCAGUGGACAGACUUCAUACGGACAAUAAAAGUCAAGUCAACAGGAGCGUUUUACUGCAUGCACUUGUAACGUUGGUUAGUGUGAACGACCUGUUCGAUCCAUUUGAACACGGAAACGUCUCAAACGUGCAAGCUUUGCUUCGGACCCCUAGACGCACAGAGAUCUGAUUGGCUUAAUGGCGUGUGUCACCAUAGCGUGCCGCUGAGCCAUCAACCCUGUGUGGGUCCGUGGGCGAGGAGGAGAGGGGGGAUGGUGAUACUAAUAAGGUCGAGUAACUGCCGCUCUUAAUGCUCUAAAGAUUGACGAUGGAUGCAUCCAAACGUCCAACUUCCUGCACCUCCGGUUUUUGGGAUGCAUCCCAUCCAGUUCACACACCCUGCUCUGGCAUUGUGUGGGCAACUGCCGCCGCCUGUCUGCCUGGGGCAUGUUGUGGUCUGACCGGUUGUUUAGGGCCCAACUUCACCACCUCCGAUGCCAGGUAUGUACGGCUGGCCCAUCCAGACCACGCCUGCCUAAAGACAUUGUCGGGAUCCGUGCUGCCGCGGCGAUCAUCUCUGCUCCUCAAAUUCAGGUUCAGUGCUUCAUGUUGAACCCGGGAGCUUGGUUAAGACGGAACCCUUUUGAGGUCAAAUCACCACGUACUGGUUUUGUCAAAGCUCUUGAGAACAUGAAAUGAUACCACCAGGUUGGCCUAUAGACACUUUCUAUUCACUGGAACGUUAGGAUAUUGCAGAAAUCCUUCAUGUGUCACAACUGAUCAGAUGCAAGAUCAGAUGCAAGUGUCGCAUGCAAGGCGUCGGCGGUGGCGUCUUUUUCAUCCCAGAAUGAAUUAUUCCACUGAUUCAAACGGUUCGGGGGCCACUGAGAUGUCCACGCAUUUGGUGGACGAUGAGGCUGGCACUAUGUAUCCGCAUCUCGCUGUUCGCUGAAGGGAGCGUCACCCCCAUGUGACACCCCUGAUCACAGCCUGGGAGCCACACCCACUGCCUCCACCAUCUGACCCGGAGAGGAGCCAAGACGUCUGUGCAUGUUUUGCAUGCCUGGUCCCCGGAGAGAUCUGAGGGAGGAGGCCCCGGUCGCACUGUGGCCUGCCACCAACACACACAAAACACAACGCACAACGCACAACGCACACACACACACACAGCCUAACAGAUCUUUUUGGUCUUCUGUGAAUGCAGCUGUGCAUGAUGGCAUGUUCCUAACAUUUGUGUGCUACCACUAAUCUGUUAACCCUCCCUUCCCCGCUGCCCCUUCCUCCCUCCCCCCCCCCCCCCCCCCCCCGCCCUGCCUCACCCUGGCCACACAUGCACCAACCAACACACACACACACACACACACACACCAACACGUCACCUCCGACCCCGCUCUCUGCCACCAUACCACUCACCCACCCGCAAACACAUUCACACACAAUGUGAAAAUCCACACUGAUUCAAACUCUUGUACCACAUUCUGAUUCACCCGCCCACAUACACAUCAACACCCUGCCCCCCCCCCCCCCCCCUCUCUCACA